GGAGAGAUGGCUCAGGGGCUAAGAGCACUGACUCCUCAUCCAGGGGUCCUGAGUUCAAAUCCCAGCAACCACA
RNAcentral lists this transfer RNA (73 nucleotides) under Mus musculus (house mouse). RNAcentral's name for it is "tRNA-Arg". Lineage: Eukaryota; Metazoa; Chordata; Mammalia; Rodentia; Muridae. The record is from RNAcentral.